GUGGAUUAGAUACCCUAGUAGUCCUGGCCCUAAACGAUGUCGACUAGAUCGUAGUGCCUCUGACGGUAUUACGGUCGAAGCAAAAGUGCUAAGUCGACCGCCUGGGAAGUACGGUCGCAAGGCUAAAACUCAAAGGAAUUGACGGGGGCUCACACAAGCGGUGGAGCAUGUGGUUUAAUUCGAAGCAACGCGCAGAACCUUACCUGGGCUUGACAUGCUAGGAUUAUCUCGGUGAAAGCCGAGUAGGCCCCGCAAGGGGUACAACGAGUACAGGUGCUGCACGGCUGUCGUCAGCU
RNAcentral lists this ribosomal RNA (296 nucleotides) under uncultured bacterium. RNAcentral describes it as "partial 16S ribosomal RNA". It matches the Rfam family "Bacterial small subunit ribosomal RNA", at positions 773 to 1060 of the family's 1533-position model. The record is from RNAcentral.